CGUGGGUGAAGAAGGCCUUCGGGUCGUAAAGCCCUGUCAAGUGGGAAUAACGUCCUGUCGUUAAUGGCGGCAGGAUCUGAAGGUACCACUAAAGGAAGCACCGGCUAACUCCGUGCCAGCAGCCGCGGUAAUACGGAGGGUGCUAGCGUUAUUCGGAUUUAUUGGGCGUAAAGAGCGUGUAGGCGGUUGGGUUAGUCAGAUGUGAAAUCCUUCUGCUCAACAGGAGAAGUACGUCUGAAACUGCCCGACUUGAGUACGAGAGAGGAAAGUGGAAUUCCCAGUGUAGAGGUGAAAUUCGUAGAUAUUGGGAGGAACACCCGUGGCGAAGGCGACUUUCUGGAUCGAUACUGACGCUGAGACGCGAAAGCGUGGGGAGCAAACAGGAUUAGAUACCCUGGUAGUCCACGCCGUAAACGAUGGGAACUAGGUGUAGUGGGUAUUGAUCCCUGCUGUGCCGAAGCUAACGCAUUAA
Molecule: ribosomal RNA, 472 nt
Filed under: uncultured delta proteobacterium
Lineage: Bacteria; Deltaproteobacteria
Description: bacterial SSU rRNA
Rfam family: Bacterial small subunit ribosomal RNA
Source: RNAcentral